This 762-nucleotide ribosomal RNA is filed under the name uncultured fungus. RNAcentral's name for it is "eukaryotic LSU rRNA". It matches the Rfam family "Eukaryotic large subunit ribosomal RNA", at positions 30 to 821 of the family's 3401-position model. Lineage: Eukaryota; Fungi. The record is from RNAcentral.
GAACUUAAGCAUAUCAAUAAGCGGAGGAAAAGAAACCAACAGGGAUUGCCUCAGUAACGGCGAGUGAAGCGGCAACAGCUCAAAUUUGAAAUCUGGCCGCAAGGUCCGAGUUGUAAUUUGUAGAGGAUGCUUUUGGCGAGGUGCCUUCCGAGUUCCCUGGAACGGGACGCCAUAGAGGGUGAGAGCCCCGUACGGUAGGACCACCAAGCCUCUGUAAAGCUCCUUCGACGAGUCGAGUAGUUUGGGAAUGCUGCUCUAAAUGGGAGGUGUACGUCUUCUAAAGCUAAAUACCGGCCAGAGACCGAUAGCGCACAAGUAGAGUGAUCGAAAGAUGAAAAGCACUUUGAAAAGAGGGUUAAAAAGUACGUGAAAUUGUUGAAAGGGAAGCAUUCAUGACCAGACUUGGGCUUGGUUGAACAUCCGGCGUUCUCGCCGGUGCACUCUGCCAGUCCAGGCCAGCAUCAGUUUGCCCCGGGGGAUAAAGGCGGCGGGAAUGUGGCUCCCUUCGGGGAGUGUUAUAGCCCGUCGUGUAAUGCCCUGGGGCGGACUGAGGAACGCGCUUCGGCACGGAUGCUGGCGUAAUGGUCAUCAAUGACCCGUCUUGAAACACGGACCAAGGAGUCGUCUUCGUAUGCGAGUGUUCGGGUGUCAAACCCCUACGCGUAAUGAAAGUGAACGUAGGUGAGAGCUUCGGCGCAUCACCGACCGAUCCUGAUGUUCUCGGAUGGGUUUGAGUAAGAGCAUACGGGGCCGGACCCGAAA